RNAcentral lists this non-coding RNA (21 nucleotides) under Caenorhabditis elegans. The record is from RNAcentral. Lineage: Eukaryota; Metazoa; Nematoda; Chromadorea; Rhabditida; Rhabditidae.
UUUAGCUAGUACUGAUAGUGA